CCUACGGGAGGCAGCAGUGGGGAAUCUUAGACAAUGGGCGCAAGCCUGAUCUAGCCAUGCCGCGUGAGCGAUGAAGGCCUUAGGGUCGUAAAGCUCUGUCCUAUGGGAAGAUAAUGACGGUACCAUAGGAGGAAGCCCCGGCUAACUACGUGCCAGCAGCCGCGGUAAU
Molecule: ribosomal RNA, 169 nt
Filed under: uncultured bacterium
Lineage: Bacteria
Description: partial 16S ribosomal RNA
Rfam family: Bacterial small subunit ribosomal RNA
Source: RNAcentral